RNAcentral lists this small RNA (333 nucleotides) under Pan troglodytes (chimpanzee). Its description in RNAcentral is "processed transcript". The record is from RNAcentral. Lineage: Eukaryota; Metazoa; Chordata; Mammalia; Primates; Hominidae.
GUGCUCCCAAAGAAUAUUUGGAAACUUUCAUCUUUCCUGUUCUGCUUCCCGGAAUGGCUAGCCUGCUUCACCAAGCGAAGAAAGAAAAAUGUUUUGAGGUUGUUCUCCAGAUGACCCCUUCGGGAGGGAAAGCCUGUGUUUGGGGUCACUUACCCAGUUCCAGCCACACCAUCUACUGUGCACAUACAUGCGCUGCCAUCUGUCUGGCCACUUGGACUCCGGAGAGCUUUUCCGCCUUGCUUGGCCUCCUGCCUGCCCUUCUCCUGUGCAGUUUGGCAUCCACCAGGUUUCUUGGGUCUUCAGCUUCUGUUUAUUACAUGCACUGAUUAAAGC